GUUCCUCUCACUACCCUGGGCAUAACUGACCUAAAAUUGAAUGAUCCAAACCUGUUCCCUAUCCCCCAGAGAUGUGAGUAAUUAGAUAAAAUGAGGACAGAAUAUGUAUAAGUAUCUGUUAUACUGGGAUGGCUGCCCAGAAAGGAAAUGAGCACCAGGAACCGGACGGCCCUGUGUGCGCCCUCUGUGCUGAAGGGCUAUGUACAAGGGCUGAGGGAGAGUACCUUCAAGACCCAUAUUUCGUGCACCAUCAGCAUUUUCUCUGGCUUUCUGCGUUGAAGGACAUCUAGCGGACUCGGAUCUGAACUAAAACUUGACUUGGGAAGCCCAUCUCAACCUCGGUCUUCACCUUCCUCCCGACACGGAACCAGGCCUCUUCCAAAUAGCCCCAACAGUGAAGGAUUGGGAGGGUGGGAAAGUGGUUAGAGGUCAUAGCAAAGUUACAAUGAUAGAUAUUUUUCUCUCGAUAUGAGAACCAAAGACUCUCACAUAA
Molecule: long non-coding RNA, 493 nt
Organism: Eptesicus fuscus (big brown bat)
Lineage: Eukaryota; Metazoa; Chordata; Mammalia; Chiroptera; Vespertilionidae
Exons: 2
Source: RefSeq, a predicted model, not a curated record